Molecule: long non-coding RNA, 1600 nt
Filed under: Eurytemora carolleeae
Lineage: Eukaryota; Metazoa; Arthropoda; Copepoda; Calanoida; Temoridae
Description: uncharacterized LOC111710380
Source: RNAcentral
CAGUUGAUUUGUUGUUGUUUAGUGUGGGAUAAGUGUUGCUCCGGUUACGAACUGGAUAUAUUACGACAGUAUCUACGCAGAAAGGUAUCUUGGUCUGCCAACCCCUGGGGAUAACCUGCGUGGCUAUCAAGCAAGCGAUGUGACCGCCAAGGCUAAGAAGCUCGCCAACAAGAAGUUUCUCGUGGUUCAUGGCACUGCAGAUGACAAUGUUCAUUAUCAGCAGUCGAUGAUGUUGACAAGAGCCAUGGAGGAAGCAGAUGUGCUCUUCAGACAAUUGAGUUACCCUGAUGAGGCCCACGGUAUUGUUGGACUCCGCCCACAUUUCUACCACGCCCUCACAGAUUUUCUUCUCAACGACUGUUUCGAGUCAAACAGCGUAAAGAGAUUGUAAACAGAAUGCUGCAACACAUUCUGAGUGCAAUGUGGAUUCUAUUAAGAAUGCCGCAAUACAUUCUGAUCGCAAUGUGGAUGCUAAGAAGAAUGCCGCAAAACAUUCUUAUCGGAAUUUGAAAUGUGGAUUCUAAACAGAAUGCCGCAAGUGAUUCUUAACAUUUGAGCCAGAAUGCCGCUGAACAUUCUGAGCGUAACGUUAAUUCUAAACAUUAUGCCGCCAGUGAUUCUCGAGGUGACUCUGACUCCACGGAUUUAAAGUAAAAUGCCGUAAAAUAUUGAUUGCAUAUUGCGGGAAAGGAUUUAAAAAAGUGGUUAAAAUGAAGUGCGUAUUUUUUUGCCCUGUAAAAUGAUAAAUGACACUUUAUAUAUCCGAUGUGAACAAUAUUUCAGUGACUUAUUGUAAGAAAAAAGUGGUGGUGAAUGUAAGUUGAACAAAUAUUUAUUGGUUCGAGUAAAAAUGAAUUGUAAAAAGUCAAAUAUUUCAGUGUAAACAACCUCUAUUGACAAGUAAAAAAUAAUGUCUAUUUAGUGAUCGUAUAGUGAUUUUAAAGAUAUACCAGGCAAAAAAAAUUCUGCAUGUGUAUUUUUUUAUAAUCUUAUUUAGUUGAAAGAAAAAAAUUUGUAGAAAAAAAUCUACCUUGAUCAAUCUUCUCGAGCUUUUUUCAUGAGAUGUAUUAUACAAGUGUGAUUUAUAAAGAUAGACCAAGUUUUUAAAAUCAGCCUUUUUUCGACCAAUUUUUGAGGGGCAUCUCAUUAAUUGGUCUCCUGAUAUUAUUUUUAAAAAUUUUUUACAUAUACAUAUAUAGUUCCUAGCUCCAAUUUUUUGGGGUUAUUUAACUUCUGCUUAAACGUUUUAUGAAUUUAGUUAUUUUUUUCCUAAAAAGUUUUGGAAAAUGGUAAUGGGAAUCUUUUUUGUUUAAAAUGAAAAAAUUUCCGAAAAAUACUUUUUUUAGGUUUUACCAAUUUUUGAGGGGCAUCUCUAUUAUUUGGUCGAUUUAUCUACUCAAAUAUUAUUAAAAAAGAAGUAAUGAUUUAUGUUUUAUACAAAUGAGAUUAGCAAAUAUUUAAAGAAAUGCAAACGCUUGAAUUCGACCAAUUAAAAAGGGGCAUCUCUUUAAUUGGUCGAAGUACCUUAUUAAAACAACAAAUAGUUCACUGUAAAUUUUUUUUAUCCUGACAAAUAAUAUAUAUAGUGCCUUAAUCAUUU